CAAAGUAUCUUCUGCCCACUGAUAAUUUAAAUGGCCGCAGUACUCUGACUGUGCUAAGGUAGCGUGAUUCUUGUUUUCUUAAUUAGAAAUCUGUUCAAAGAAUGAUAUGUGGAAAAUCUGUUGUUUUCGUAUAAAACAAACUUAAAUUGUUAGUGAAAAUUCUAACAAAUUCUUAAAAGACGAGAAGACCCCACAAAACUUAAUUUAACUGCUUAUUUAUUAUUUACUAAAAUUUAGAUGGGGACUUUAGAGUAAAACAAUAACUUGGUGACCUACAUAUUUAAUAACUGAGAAGCUACUUUGGGGAUAACAGGGUGAGAUAUUUAGAGAGUCCUUAUCGAUAAAUAUAAUUACUACCUCGAUGUUGGAUUAUCUUUUCA
RNAcentral lists this ribosomal RNA (380 nucleotides) under Brachionus calyciflorus. RNAcentral's name for it is "partial 16S ribosomal RNA". It matches the Rfam family "Bacterial large subunit ribosomal RNA", at positions 1897 to 2547 of the family's 2925-position model. Lineage: Eukaryota; Metazoa; Rotifera; Eurotatoria; Ploima; Brachionidae. The record is from RNAcentral.